CGGAGGAUCCAAGCGUUAUCCGGAUUCACUGGGUUUAAAGGGUGCGUAGGUGGGCAAGUAAGUCAGCGGUGAAAUCUCCGGGCUUAACCCGGAAACUGCCAUUGAUACUAUUUGUCUUGAAUACUGUGGAGGUCAGCGGAAUAUGUCAUGUAGCGGUGAAAUGCUUAGAUAUGACAUAGAACACCAAUUGCGAAGGCAGCUGGCUACACAAAUAUUGACACUGAGGCACGAAAGCGUGGGGAUCAAACAGGAUUAGAUACCCUGGUAGUCCACGCCCUAAACUAUGGAUACUCGACAUUUGCGAUAAACUGCAAGUGUCUGAGCGAAAGCAUUAAGUAUCCCACCUGGGAAGUACGAUCGCAAGAUUG
This 368-nucleotide ribosomal RNA is filed under the name uncultured organism. Its description in RNAcentral is "bacterial SSU rRNA". It matches the Rfam family "Bacterial small subunit ribosomal RNA", at positions 526 to 896 of the family's 1533-position model. The record is from RNAcentral.